Molecule: ribosomal RNA, 254 nt
Filed under: uncultured bacterium
Lineage: Bacteria
Description: partial 16S ribosomal RNA
Rfam family: Bacterial small subunit ribosomal RNA
Source: RNAcentral
UACGGAGGAUCCAAGCGUUAUUCGGAUUUAUUGGGUUUAAAGGGCAUGUAGGUGGAAUUUUAAGUCAGUGGUGAAAUUCUAUAGCUUAACUAUUAGAUCUGCCAUUGAUACUGUUAUUCUUGAGUAUGUUUGAAGUGGGCGGAAUGUGUCAUGUAGCGGUGAAAUGCUUAAAUAUGACACAGAACACCAAAUGCGAAGGCAGCUCGCUAAAACAUUACUGACACUGAUAUGCGAAAGCUUGGGUAGCAAACAGG